Molecule: ribosomal RNA, 433 nt
Filed under: uncultured bacterium
Lineage: Bacteria
Description: partial 16S ribosomal RNA
Rfam family: Bacterial small subunit ribosomal RNA
Source: RNAcentral
AACGAACGCUGGCGGCAUGCCUAACACAUGCGAGUCGAACGAGACCUUCGGGUCUAGUGGCGCACGGGUGCGUAACGCGUGGGAACCUGCCCUUAGGUUCGGAAUAACUCCCCGAAAGGGGUGCUAAUACCGGAUAAUGUCUUCGGACCAAAGAUUUAUCGCCUUUGGAUGGGCCCGCGUUGGAUUAGCUAGUUGGUAGGGUAAAAGCCUACCAAGGCGACGAUCCAUAGCUGGUCUGAGAGGAUGACCAGCAACCCUGGGACUGAGACACGGCCCAGACUCCUACGGGAGGCAGCAGUGGGGAAUAUUGGACGAUGGGCGAGAGCCUGAUCCAGCAAUGCCGCGUGAGUGAUGAAGGCCUUAGGGUUGUAAAGCUCUUUUACCCGGGAUGAUAAUGACAGUACCGGGAGAAUAAGCUCCGGCUAACUCCGUG